Molecule: ribosomal RNA, 497 nt
Filed under: uncultured Tuber
Lineage: Eukaryota; Fungi; Ascomycota; Pezizomycetes; Pezizales; Tuberaceae
Description: eukaryotic LSU rRNA
Rfam family: 5.8S ribosomal RNA (bases 50-202)
Source: RNAcentral
UUCUUCUAAACUACGCGAGAGGCUGGGCCAUAACCUUUAAACAUUUUAAAACUUUCAACAACGGAUCUCUUGGCUCUCGCUCGAUGAAGAACGCAGCGAAAUGCGAUAAGUAAUGUGAAUUGCAGAAUUCAGUGAAUCAUCGAAUCUUUGAACGCACAUUGCGCCCUUUGGCAUUCCAUAGGGCAUGCCUGUUCGAGCGUCACUAACAACCCCAUCACAAAGAGUGUGGUAUUGGCAGAAGUGGGUAGGGCUGGCAGUGCUGGCCCCACUCUGCUGGAAUGAAUAGGCCGGAAAUGUAACCAUGGGACAGACUUUCAGAGUAUCUCGUAAUGCUAAAUUAGUUUGUAGGCCGGUCAGAAUCCAGGCCGUUGGACCCCCAUUAUGUGUAAAGCAGUAAUGUUGACCUCGGAUCAGGUAGGGAUACCCGCUGAACUUAAGGGGGGGAAACCGGAACUUUAACAUCAUAUUUUUUAAAAUCCCCGGUCCCGUUUCUGCCA